GUCGCUGCGCGAGCGUGCGCCCGUGAUCUGUUCGGCGGGAGCGCUCGUGCUGGCUCGGGCGCGUUGUUUUUGCGAUGGCGAGUGCGACCUCAUCAGCCAGGAAAGGUGGCACGCAAUACUGCUGUAUUGUUGAUUGCCAUAACAGCCUCGAAAACACGAAAGGUCGAACGCCGCCCGUGAAAUUCUACAGAUUUCCGGGGAAGUGGUACGAGAAGGUCAGACGACAAGCAUGGAUAAUUGCAGUGCGCCGAGUCAAUGCUGAUGACACUCCCUGGGAGCCAUCCAAAAGCAUGCGAAUUUACAAAAACAAGCAGGAUUUGCGAAGCGAAGACAUCGAUAACGCUUGCCGUUGUUCGCUGACAGCUCCGCGCAAAUCAGAACGAACACAAACGUGUAAUUUACUAAUGCUCCAGCCAAGAAAUUUAGCAGCAAAAGGCGGAAGCACAAAAUGAGAGCAGCCGUGUGCGCGCACUCAGUUACCGAGGAAACUAACGGCAAUCGUCACCGUCCCUCCACAUCUCUGCAAGUAUGCAUGACCGCUUUGUGCCUGCAUCAUAUAGAAAUAAAGUGGCUAAACUUCUGAACUUGGUGUAUACCUCUAAAUCGACAUCGUAUACGAUCUUGGACACCUGUGACACGCACUUGGCUUUCACUGUCACAUCACCGUCCACGAUUUGUUGAACGCCGUACACGUGCGGAAGCAGACGCUCCCCUUUCGUGAGGUUGCCGCCACGAAAGAAUCUGUCCGCGUCGGCAGCCUUCUUGAAACCGCAUUGCAAUCUCUGCGUCGCUGUUGCGCAAGCAGGCGAUCUGCCGCCGUCGAAAACUGAGCGCCGUGAGAACGAGCAGCGAAGAAACGCGCGGGCGAACCGGUGUAAACAAAGCGGAGACCGCGCCACGGCACGACCGCGCUGCAUCACGUUUCCACAUUGGGGGCGCUGUCAGGAGGCGCAGUAGCGCCGCCUGGCCAUGGUUUUCUCGUCUAUAGCGGACGGGAGCGCGCCAACCAACGUCGAAAAAAAAAAUAAAUAUCGAAAGUGCGCGUACAAACCCAAAGUUCCGCGAGAUGGCGGCACGUCCCUGAAAUUGUUAAAGAUAUUGCGAGAUGCCCCGCCUUCCCGGCGGCGCGGACAGCGAGACAACGCGGCUGGUCAGAACAAGCGCGGGCGCUCGCCGCCGCGCCGCUUUGAAAAUCCGCUUGUCCGCAUAGACGCUCCGCUUUCGGUGUGAACGUGCCUUUACUCUCACCUUUUUUCCAGAUGCGUUGCGGUAGCACAUUGGAGAAAGGAAACUGUGCGUUCCACAAUGGUGGUGGUACGACCCGAACACUCUCAACUUCAAGGAAAUUGCGACAGAGAACGAAAAAAAUCGACUGCACGGCGCCGCUAAAGAAACAGCCAUAGUAGACCAAUUAAAAAGGUUCCCUCGUGAGCACAUUAUCUCCCGCUAGUGGCGCCGUAGUAAGCGCAAUUUUAACCUACAAACUUUCUUAUACAGUAAUCGAAGCGUUUUUAUUACAUGACAAAAAGUAAAAAAUUAUCAUUGCUAUUUUUACACUGUACUUUUUUUUACUAACUUUGUUGAUUUUUGCCAUUUUAAACACAAAAUAGUGUUCAGCAUCAUCGACCUCCCACGUGACCUCUGGCCAGAAUUUCAAAUUUUUACCGGUAUGUUCGCGUGCACGGCAGGUACGGAUUCUUUGGUUUGUACGUCGGUUGGUUAUUUUAUGCUAAAACUGUUUAUUGCGCUUCGAUAUCUCGCGUUAUUUAACUUGGGGUGUAAGCCCGAAAGCUAGGUUUUAGUCGUGAGUCAUGUGGAACAAGUCUGCAUCGAAAUGGGAACCGGGUCCUGCUGCAACUGGGGACAGCAAUACCGACAUGCAGUAAUGAGGGCGGACCCAGUAUAAAGCAACACACUCCAGGCACUAAACAAGCUGCUGCCUGCUAACAAAAGGCCAUUGUGUGGACUUGGGCUGCUACUACAAGAGUCUAUUCCAAGCACAUCUUGGUCAUCGCAGGAGCUCCCAUCUACCAACAGGAUCCCAUCUGCGAACAGGUGGGACAUUCUGUCCAAUCUGCUUGCGCCGCUCGUUACCAGAGCGCCAUGUGCGACGGCGGUGAGCCGUUUACGAGCUCGCGUCGAUGAUUCCAGCAUAUCUCGACAUGCAAAUUUUAUUUCUGCUAUUGCACGAGAAUGGUACACUGCUUGUCUUCUGCUCACUUGUGGCUUGUUUGUAUGGGUAUCAGUAGACGCUCUUUGGUCUCCUGGCUACUAGAACGCACCAGCUACGCAGCAGCCAAGGCAUUGAGGCAUGCCGCAUAGCCGGCAGGGCAAGCACGGCGCGUACCAGCGUACGUGACUGGCAAAAAGCGGCCAUAUUGGAUUUUGCUCUAAAAAAAGUGCACUUCCGCUGGAUGGGUGGAUAGAUGUUAUGAGCGUCCCCUUUGGAACGGGGCGGUGGGUUGCACUACCAAGCUCUUUCAAUCCGCUUCCGUAUUGAGCAGCGUCAUCUGGCGUCCACCUAGGUAAGUUCCAUGCGCAGCUGCUGCUUAUUUUCGUACCACUGCUACAGUGUACUAGAAUACUAGUUCCAUGGAGUUUCCUACAAAUUUUUGUAGGAAACUCUAUGACUAGUUCACUGUACCACUGCAGAAGGUACAGUUUCUGUUCUCUAAUGUUAGUUCGUUAUUCUAUGACAUGGCUGCAGUGGCAGUCAAUGGCCAGAAGUGCUGCAAAGACUCAUUUCUGUGUUUGUUAGAAACCAUCGCUCGGCGCUACCCUGUAUGAAGACUUUUCUGCGCUUGUUAGAAGCCAUCGUUCGGUGCUACCCAGUGUGAAGGUACAUCACAAAGUAAAAUAAAGCGUAGUUCUCUGACCCUUUGCUUUUGUAUGAAUGUUUUCUGACAUUGCUGUGCUGCGCUUACAUACACGGCACAACAUUUCCGUACACGGAUGGAUGGAAGGUAGGAGCGUCCCCUUUGAAACGGGGUGAUGGCAGUUGCCACCGUGCUCAGAUUUUUAUUUUGCCUUUUAUUUUUAUUGUUAUCUGUGUUGUGUGUUAUUGAAAUUCUCAAUUUUCUUUAAAUACGUCGUCCUACCCUUUUAACCUUAUGUCACCUCUCUGCUUUUGAGCCACCAAUACCACCGCAUAUUUAUUUACAUGACUUAUCUCUGAACCUUAGGGCCUCAGGAAGCGUGACUGUGGCCGCAUCGACAUCGGGAUUGAUACCAUCGCAUUUUAGUAUGAGGUGUUCCAUUGUUUCUACAUAUUUACCACACACAGUACAUGUCUUCUUCAUUAAAUUUCUUUUUAUAGCUUCGCGUUCUGAGACGUCCUGAUCUAGCUUCAGAGAGUAGGGCACUGCCUCUUGAGUUAUCAUAAAACGCUUCCUUCCUGAUCUGCUGUUUCCAGUAUCGAUAUAGUUCCACACUAUGCUUCUUUACUGUUGAAUUUAUCCAAUUUUUACCUUCCGCAUUUUUAACCUGUUGUUUAAUACUCUGUCUUUCUUCGUCCUCGUGUCUGCCAUACUUGCUGGUUAGCUUCCUAGUUCUUUUCCGCCAUUGUGAGUCAACACUCUUUCUGUAUAGGUAUUUAAAUACCUUAGCUGCCCACCUGUUUUCAUUCAAUUUUUUCAGACGUUUUUCGUAUAGGAUUUUACUCUGAGCUUCCCCUGCUUCGAACGAUGCCCAGCCCAUAUAUCCCUGUACUGCUUCGUUCGUGGUUUUCACGUCGCACCUAGUGCUAACCUUCCCACAGCUCUCCGAUUUACUUCUGGUCUCGACUGAACCUCUGCCCUUAAACACAAGACCGCAUUCCUGAAAGUAAGCCCCGGCACCAUUAGUCCCUUCCAAAUACCUCUCAGUACCUCAUACCUGUUGUACCCCCACAAUGCCCUAUGUUUAAUUAUCCCGGCAUCUCUUCGCCCUUUUGCUAUGAGAGACUGUUUGUGCUUUUCCGUGUACAUCUGCCCUUUGUUUAUCCAUACCCCGAGAUAUUUGUAUUCGGCCACUCGGGGUAUUUCAUGGCCUUGUAUUGUAAGCUCCUGAUUAGUUGUAUUGUUGAAAUACAUCCCACCGGAAUUAGCUGUACUAAAACUGAAACCUAAACUGUCUCCUUCAUCUCCACAGUAAUUAACCAGAGUUUGCAAAUCUUCCUGGCUAUCUGCUAACAGUACAAUAUCGUCUGCAUACAUUAAACCCGGUAGUCGUUCCUCAACCUUUUCGCCUAAUCUGUACAACAGAUUAUACCCUAGAUUGCUUCGUUGUAACCUUCUUUCCAUGCUUAUCAUAUACAACCUUGCCUUAAUCCUUUGUGUACCUCGACAGUUGUACUUACUCUUAAUUCCUUCCCAUGUUAUUUCGACAUUAUUUUCUCGAUAUAUUUCCUGUAGAAAAUCUACAGUACACUUCCGCACUAACCGACGCCCUCUUGCAGCGAGCGAUCUGUUGAAAGCACAGUGGCAAAAGCAGGCGCACACCAAUCAGUGCUCGGAAAAGCACGCAGCGAGCCGCGCCAAUCAAAUCCAGAAGGCAAAGUUCAUUCAAACUAUGCAUUACUACAGCCUUUGACUGUAUGCAUUAUGGUGCGAGAGCAGAGAAAUGGAUAUGUAAAGACAGUUGGGCACGUUAAAACAGCAUCUUUUUGUAUUUGAAAAGGUAACACACACAAAAUGACAGAACACAUGCGCUUUCAUCUCUUCUUACACACAAAAAACCUGGAGCAAUAAGGCCUUUUUCACUGUGCCAUAGAAACUGUGCCAUUUUUGCUCUCAAAGAUAAUUCUUAUUCACUGGAUUAGCUCUUGUGCCAUGUUUAUUUUCUUGAGUGUGCUUUUUUUACACGUUAAUGUUUCAAAAUCUUCUUUUAUUUUCACAGAAUGAACAUCCCAUGUCUCGGUUCGACUUCCUAGUACAGGAUACUUGCACUUGACAUGGAGUGAAGAAGCGGAGCAGUGUACUUUUAUUAAAACACAGAGUUAGCAGUAUAAGAGCAGUUCAUCAAAAAAAAGUCUGCUGUAAAUAAAGGGUUCCCACCCACAUUCCUCGUUGUUUAAUUAUGCUUGUAUGCCAGUAUUCUCAGCAAAACCAGUUAUAUUGGUAAUUGAUCAUAAUAAGUGCUCAUGAGCGUUUUAAGGAACAGUGUUGAACCCUUUAUACUGGUGCACUGGUAAGAUGUUUACAUGCAGUAAGAUUGAAAUGGAAGGCGAAAUAGCGCACACCAAUGCUUGAUGCAGCACUUCUCACACUAGCAUGUCAGAAAUUUUUGCAUAAAACAAUAUACUCGGAGCAUACUAGCACUAGCACAUCAUCCUCACUCUCACAAAUCUGCGUGCGGCUCAUAUCUCUCUCCCUCUCUCUCCCCCCACACUGGGCUUACCUGCUGGCCAUCACU
Dermacentor andersoni is the source of this 5391-nucleotide long non-coding RNA. RefSeq lists it as uncharacterized. NCBI's taxonomy places the organism in Eukaryota, Metazoa, Arthropoda, Arachnida, Ixodida, Ixodidae. The record is from RefSeq and is a predicted model, not a curated record.